Molecule: long non-coding RNA, 6483 nt
Filed under: Sus scrofa (pig)
Lineage: Eukaryota; Metazoa; Chordata; Mammalia; Artiodactyla; Suidae
Description: lncRNA (ENSSSCG00015012710.1)
Source: RNAcentral
AGCAGUUACAUAAUUUAGAGAAGGAAGACUGACAGCCUUCAGUUACUCAGCCAGCCUGCAGUAAUGACCUUCAGGGAGGAAGCAGUGAAUCUCAUUCUUCAGAAGGUGAGAUUCCUCUUGUCUUCACUCCCAAACCAGAGGAGCCUAAACCUAUUGACACCAUCCACAGAGGCAACAGAGAAGGAUGGAGGAUGAGCAGCAAAUUGAAGACAUUUAGGACAUAUUGUCACAGAAAUGUCACCUCAAGUUAUCCAUUGGUCAAUAUUCACAUCUCACAGAUGGAUUCUCCCAAUUUAAAAUACUCACAAAAUAGUGAUAUUAUGAACUGUUCAAACAAACUAGGAUCUUAAUAAUCAAUCAUUUAGUCAGAAGAAUCCCUAAGCAUGUCAAAGAAUUGAAUGCUAUCCUUCAUAUAGUGCCAGAUCUGAGAUAAGAAAACAUUUAACCUACAAUCCAGUGUGAAAUAUUCUCAUUUUAGAGGAAAACAGAAAUCCAAAAUGCCAAAUGCAAUUUAGGCCUUCUUGCAAUAUGUAAUGUUUCUUGAUAGUUGAAGAGAUGAUAGAUAGAGAUAAAAAUAGACGUAGAUAAAGAUAUUUAUCAAAGCUAGAGUGGUCAGAAAGCAUAGAUGACAUGCUGGAAAGUGCCACUGAAACAUAGGUGGAAUUUUAAAACUUUAGUCCAGUUCCAUUUAAUUCACCACGGGCAUUGGGUUUAAUAAUAUAUAAUAACUCUAGGAAUUAGAGAUGUUUUCCUUUCUUCAUUCGAAUAUCUUUGUAUUUAAAAUUCUAUACAUGUUUCUAAUAAUUUUAUCUUUUUUAUAACAUUUAAAACAGUAUUAUUAUAACAUCCUUAUUUCUAUCUCACCAAAACAAAUUUGAUUUAAAUAUAAUUGCAUAGAGCCUUUAGAAGUCUGAAUUGUCUGCACAACUGCAAUCAUCUUAUUUAUUUGCUAAUAGUGGAGAAUAACUGUUAUGAUGUAAAUACACUUUUCAAUAAGUUAAAAAUUGCCAUAUUAAGCAACAUGAUUUUAUAAGUUAAAGUACAUGGAAUGGAAACAUUUGUGAACAGUGUUAAAACUUGUAUUGUCUACUUAAAAAUACUUUAUAUUAUCUUUACUUUGUAACAGAUGUUAAUAUAAAUAUGUUACUAAACUAAAUUGUAAUCAGAUUCCCCUUGAAGUAGAAGAGAAAGGUCUAUUUGUUUUUACAUGAAAUAACUCCAAGGCAUUGUGAUUUUGUUCUUAUAUCUACUUUCAGUAGAUUUUUGACCUUUGUAAGCACUUCCAGGCCAUAAAUUAUCAAGUCUCCUUGUCAACCUAUCUGAUUCUUGUGGCAGUCACCUUCUUCACAGAUUAAUUUUACCCAGUCUAGUCAUGCAUUCAUUCAUUUACCAAUAAUUACUGAGUAUCUUCUAGUGCCCUGAUGGCCUAGUGGUUAAGGUUCUGGUGUUGUCACUGCUGUGGAUCAGGUUUGAGGCCUGGCCCAGGAAUUUCUGUAUGCCAUGGUUGCAGCCAAAAAAAUAAAUAAAUAAAUUAUUGAAUAUCUUCUAAGGAAACUUCAAGAAGACAAAUUCAAUCAGUAUAAGUGAGAUUUUUAACAAAAUUGUCCAAAGAUAAAAUAAACUGCCUCAAAAUAUAGUAAAAUUCCCAUUGUUGAAUGUGUGGAUAUGCUGGAUGACCAUCAGAAGCAAUUUUGCAGAAUAGAUUUAGUAUUACAAAACCAUGUUAUCAAAAAGGCAAAUUUGUGAUAUUUUACAAACAUGAGAUGCUGUAAUUCUAACUAUAAUUGUCAAAAAAAUCUCCCUAACUGCCAUAGGCUUAACCCAUUUUACCAUCUUUUACACUGGAAUUAGUGAUGCCUAUAAUAGAACUAUGAAAUUGCUUUUUCCUUGGUUUUCAGCUACUUCAGGGAGGAAUGGUUCACAAGUUAACACCAUGUUCAGAAGUAAAAAUAUAAUGUAUGCUAUUUCUUCAAGAACUGUUUCAUAUUUGUCUUACUCUGUAAAUAAAUCCAAAUUAGUUUGCUCAAUAUUCCAUACCAUAAAAGCAGAAUCAAGAGCAAUAAUGGUUUUGUUUUAUUCAAAUCUAAGUUAAACUCUCCAAGAAUCCCCCAGUUAGUUUAAUCACGGCUUGGCACAUCCACAAAUCUUUGGUUGACUGUUUAGAAGGUCAUAAACUUCCAUUUUCUCUACUUGUUGAAAGAUGCAGCUUCUUCUCCCACAAAGUUUUCUUAUUCAUUAGCUUGUCAAAGUUAAUGGAUGCAUGACUAGCCCUAAGAGUGAAAACAAUAUAGUGUGUAAAACUGGUCCUUUACUUGUUGUGAGCAGCUAGGAAACCACUGGUUGGACUCAAUAUAGGAUCAUUCAUUCUACAAAUAUUUGCAGAGCAUGUGUUAUGCUCCAGGCACUCUUCUAUCAUAGGCAAUGCAUCUGUGAACAAAACAGGCCAAAAUUUCUGCCUUGAAGAGUCUGGAUUCUAUGGGAGGAAAGGAGGCAGGAAAGAAAUAAGAAAAUUUAUUUAAUUUAAUAUAUGCUACAUAAUAAUAAGAGCUAGAGAGAAAAACAUAAAGCAGAAAAAGAGAAUACAUGCAUGUGUCUAUGUGUAUAUAUUUGGGAGAAAUCAAAAUUUUAGUUAGGCUGGCCAGGAUAGAUCUCACCAUAUUUGAGGAAGAGCAAGGAAGCCAGAGUGACUGGAACACAGGAAGUAAGGACACAUUGUUAAAUCAGGUAAGAUUUCAGAAGUCAGAGGAAAAAAAUGUGUGUUUUUAUAAAAAAUGAGAUAAGAAGCCACCGGAGAUUUCUGAAUGGAGGAAAGUUGUGAUCUGGCUCAUGUCUUCACAGGUUCACCUUUGCUGCUCAGUUGAGAACAGAUUAAAGAGGCAAGAGAUGGAAGCAGGAAUAUGGGUUAGUAGAUAGAGUAAUGACUCAUGAGCAGGAUAAUGGUACUGGGAUGGAGGUCGUGAGAAGUGGUUGAAUUGUCCCAGAUAAAUUUUGAAGGCACUGCUGACAGAUCCAAUGUGAAGGAUGAUUGUAAGCGAAGAUGGCACCAAGGUUUUUGGCCUGAACAAGUGUAAGGAUAGAGUUGCCAUUGAUAAUACACAGGGACCUACAGCUUAGUUUGAUUGACAUUGAGUUUUUAAUGUCCAAGCUCCAAGAUCCCACCAAAAUGAAAGUAAUCCAAAAUGCAUUUCAGCAUAGUGUAUGUUGUAAUUUAUUAAAAAGUUGCAAAUGAGGCUCAUGUAAUAUAAUGGGUAGUAUAUACUCAGCAGGGAGAAAUAGAUAAUGGCUAUGUGAAAUUUUUAUAAUGAGGCAAUAUGACUAGUGAUCUUUACCUUGAAAUGGAAUUCAGAGCAUUGCCACUAAAUUGAAAUGGAAUUCUGAACAUUGCAGACUAAAACAAUUAGUUAAAAUUAGCUGUUUUAAAUUCCAAAUUAUUUACCCACAUAUUUGACUGUUUCUACUGUCUAAUUCCCAGCAUUCCAUAACUAUGCCUAGCAACUGUUAACAAAAUAUAUACAUCACUGAAUCUUUGCAUGAACUCUAGACCAUAUAUACCAAAAAAAAAUCCCACUGUGCCAUUCUUGGCUUAAAUUAAGGACUAACUCUGAGGAGAUCUCAUAACUACAAUAGUCACUUUUCUGAUUGCAUGACAUGCCAAGCCACUUAAAUGGCAUGUGUAAGGUAAAAUAAAAUCAAUUGCAAAGAGGUUUUGGUUAUAAUUUGUUAGCUGCAAAGCAUACAGAAGAUUUGGUUGAAAAGUAUCUCAGGAGGGGAGAUCUUCAACCAUAUAUUGUAAUGGCAUUGUAUUUCUUAUCUCUUGUGAAAAUUUAUCAAAAUAAAUCUGGCAGUCAGGAUCAUGGUGAUCCCUCUUCCUUUGGAGGAGACAUGCGAUCUUCUUUUCACUGCUUUGGGCUGCUUACAUGAUGCUAGUUAUUAAUGACACACUCAGGAUUAUGGUGACCACUCUCCACCUCCUCCAGCAGAUGUAGCCAGACUAUGGCAAAACAAAACAACAAAUACAAGGGUAUAAUUCUAUUUUGCAAACAAAACAGUAGGGUAUUAACUGCUUCAAAAGAUUCCGUAGCCUGAAACUUCUCUCUAAAAUAAAUGCCUACAAAUGUUAUGAUUGGUUAAGUGAUAAUGUUGCUUUAAAUGAGAUUACUUUCUAGUGGUGUCCUUCAUGCAUAAAUUCCUCCACUGGCUACCUGGGCCUGAAGAUGUCUGGGGUUUUAAAAUUAUUAUUAUCUCUCCAUUUAUUUCGUUUUUUGUAUUUCACUUCUAAAGAAAAAUUACCUUUGUAUCUUUUGGGGUUAAAAUUGAUUCACUUUUUCCACCUUCCUAAGCAUGUUUCAUUGAAAUACAAUAUUGAUAUAUCUCCAUGAGGGAGUUUAAUCUGCCCUCUCCAAAUUAAAGCGAAAAUAGGAGAUGACGCUGGGUCUUUAUAAUGUCCCCUUCUGACUCACUUUUCCUCGCAACCAUGAAUAAAAAAUUUUUCUGAAAAAGCAGUUCCUAUAUAUAUCCCUGCAUGUGUAGACCCCAAGCAGAAUAUUCAGUAAAUAUGCACUGGGCUCCCACUUGAUGUGAGGUGUUAUGUUAGAUGUUAAGGUGAAUACUGCAAAGUAUUGAAAUGCCUCCUGUCCUGAGAGAGCUCCAAUCUGCUGGGAAUUCUGAGAAAGAUAAGUCAAUUAUGACAUUACAAGGGCAGUCUGGGCACAGGUAAAGUGAGAUUAAAUCCAAAGAGAUCACAGUUUAUUUAGAAAGCAUUAUAAUAUUUUAUACACUUUCAUGUUUUGUCUGCACAAUAGCUCUUUGCUCUGAUUAGAGCAUAAGUUACUACCCCUAUUUGACAAAUGAAGAAACUAAAUCACAGCAAGUGUAUUGGCAGAGUAACUACAAGUAGAAACUCAGUUCGUGAAUCUUAAUCUGUCUAUGUUUUUUAAGAUAGGUGUACAGAAAAUUCCCCCAGGACUCAAACAGCGGCCCUUUUACCUUCACUUUAUAAGUUUUUAGUUAUUAUUAGAAUCUGAAGCAAUGCUAAAUUGUAUCUUAGUUUCAGUUCCCGGGGAAACAUAUCCUGAGGCAGAAACACAUAUGCAAAAGUUUGAUGGGACGUGCCCUUGGAAACAUCUAUAAAGGAGUGAGUGAGAGAAACAAGAGGCAGAGGCUGAAUUUAAAUGCAGUGGCUAUAGGGAAUUCUGAUGCUCCAUCUUCAAAGCUGCCCCCACCCCCAUCCAGGUGACAGGGUUGGGUCUUUAUACUGCCUUAUUUACCAAUCAUUGAAUAUAAGGUGCUCCGGAGAGAAAAUGAGACUUGGGACAGGAAACUACCUGCUCCCAGAGAGGUAUUCAGCCAGUAACCAGUUACAUAAGAAGUGAGUGAACUUUCCAGAAGUGGGGGUCUAGGCAGUGUAUCACGCCUCCACCCCAACUAGUCAGGAGAGGCUAAAUGAUGCUAUACAGACAAAUUAAGCUCAAAAUGCCAGUGGCUUAAAUGACAAAAUGUAUCCCUUGCUCACAGAAUAUACCCAGCGAAUGUCAGGUCAAUGACCUAGUGAUCUGUGCUGCUCCUUCUUGUGUCUUCAUUUCCAGCAUGGUCUCCUCAGUUAUGCAGGGGCUUUCACUGCAGCAAUCUGAGACUGACAGGUCACUUCUACUCACAGCUUAGAAGCCAGAAUUAAUCACAGGCUCUUUAAGAGGACUGGGCAGUGUGUGCUUCCUUGUACCUGGGAAGGAGAGAAACAGAGAAAUAGCAAUAUGAGAAGUAUCCCAUCUACUCUUUUUGGUACCAAGUUAAAUCACACUAGAACAGUAAAACAUCAACCUACCAGUCAAUAAAUAUGUACAGAUUACAUUUUAUGUAACAGUGCUACAUUAGCAGUUUUAACAAAUAGUAAUAGCAGAACAACAAAGCAUGAAAUAUCUGGAUGGGGAAAAGAUAAUCACAUUGGCAAAGUAAAGAAAGUUAUUCAAGGCAGUACAUGAUUGAGACCUAAAUUGUGACUGUUGACGUUAAAUGCUAUAAGAAUGUGGGCAAGAGAUAUCAAAGAGAGGAGAAGUCAGAAAAGAUUUCAUAAAAAAUACAAAAAUUGAAUUGGGCCCUGAAAAUUGAAAACACUAUGGAAAAAAACAGCAAUUUUCCUCCAUCAUUAGAAUAAGGUCUACAUCAUAACCAAUCUAAGAACUUUUUCAAUGGUCCUUUCUGAAAAUCUCACAUUCUCAAGGAUAUGCUGCCAUAAUUCAUGCAAAAUAUUCCCUAACAUGAGGGAGGUUGCUGUCGUGGCUCAGUGGUUAACGAAUCCGACUGGAAACCAUGAGGUUUCAGGUUCAAUCCCUGGCCUCGCUCAGUGGGUUAAGGAUCCGGCAUUGCCAUGAGCUGUAGUGUAGCUCGCAGACGCAGCUCGGAUCUGGCGUUGCUGUGGCUGUGGCAUAGGCUGGUGGCUACAGCUCCAAUUCAACCCCUAGCCUGGGAACCUCCAUAUGCCGCAGG